RNAcentral lists this long non-coding RNA (1243 nucleotides) under Salmo salar (Atlantic salmon). RNAcentral's name for it is "lncRNA (ENSSSAG00000113931.1)". Lineage: Eukaryota; Metazoa; Chordata; Actinopteri; Salmoniformes; Salmonidae. The record is from RNAcentral.
GUAACCAACUGCGGCCUUGACCUCCAACAGUAUCAGCAACAGAGAGGUGUGAAGUUUCCACAACAGACUUAGAGUCAGUUUAUCAUACACUUCUCUUUAGACGCUGCAGCCUUGACCUCCAUCAACAGAGUUAGAGUUAGUUUAUCAUGAGAACAUACAGACACCACUGACUGGAACCAGCUGACAGUAUCAGUUGUAAAGGCUUCAUUACUACUAACAGAAGGAAAGUUGUAGUGUUAUGUCCAUGAUGAAUGAUGUAAAGGCUUCAUUACUACUAACAGAAGGAAAGUUGUAGUGUCCAUGAUGAAUGAUGUAAAGGCUUCAUUACUACUAACAGAAGGAAAGUUGUAGUGUUAUGUCCAUGAUGAAUGAUGUAAAGGCUUCAUUACUACUAACAGAAGGAAAGUUGUAGUGUCCAUGAUGAAUGAUGUAAAGGCUUCAUUACUACUAACAGAAGGAAAGUUGUAGUGUUAUGUCCAUGAUGAAUGAUGUAAAGGCUUCAUUACUACUAACAGAAGGAAAGUUGUAGUGUUAUGUCCAUGAUGAAUGAUGUAAAGGCUUCAUUACUACUAACAGAAGGAAAGUUGUAGUGUUAUGUCCAUGAUGAAUGAUGUAAAGGCUUCAUUACUACUAACAGAAGGAAAGUUGUACUGUUAUGUCCAUGAUGAAUGAUGUAAAGGCUUCAUUACUACUAACAGAAGGAACGUUGUAGUGUUAUGUCCAUGAUGAAUGAUGUAAAGGCUUCAUUACUACUAACAGAAGGAACGUUGUAGUGUUAUGUCCAUGAUGAAUGAUGUAAAGGCUUCAUUACUACUAACAGAAGGAAAGUUGUAGUGUUAUGCCCAUGAUGAAUGAUGUAAAGGCUUCAUUACUACUAACAGAAGGAACGUUGUAGUGUUAUGUCCAUGAUGAAUGAUGUAAAGGCUUCAUUACUACUAACAGAAGGAAAGUUGUAGUGUUAUGUCCAUGAUGAAUGAUGUAAAGGCUUCAUUACUACUAACAGAAGGAACGUUGUAGUGUUAUGUCCAUGAUGAAUGAUGUAAAGGUUUCAAUGUGUUUUAUAUUGAGCUGCUCUGUUAAAUUCUGUUUGUUCAUGUGAAAUUGGAAAUUGUAUUUUUCUAUAAUGUCAUUGUGUGUGUUUAGCUUGAGCAACACCAUUGUAUGGUUGGAGUAAUAACAUGUUCCACUACUGAAGACAUUGUCUCUAAUCUAGGUUGGAGUAGUAACAUGUUCCACUACUGAA